This 483-nucleotide ribosomal RNA is filed under the name uncultured bacterium. RNAcentral's name for it is "partial 16S ribosomal RNA". It matches the Rfam family "Bacterial small subunit ribosomal RNA", at positions 30 to 507 of the family's 1533-position model. The record is from RNAcentral.
AUUGAACGCUGGCGGCAUGCUUUACACAUGCAAGUCAAACGGCAGCGCGGGCUUCGUCCUGGCGGCGAGUGGCGAACGGGUGAGUAAUACAUCUGGACGUGCCCACCUGAGGUGGAUAGCUCCGCGAAAGCAGGCUUAAUACACAGCCGACCUGACGGGCAAAGCGGGGUGUAUUCGGACCGCGUGCGAUUUAUGUGGGCGGUAUCCGGGUAGAUAGAUGGUGGGGUAAAGGCCUACUAAGGCGACGAUCUGUAGCUUGUCUGAGCAGACGACCAGCCACACUGGUACUGAGACACGGCCGACACUUCGACGGGAUGCAGCAGUGGGGAAUUGUGGACAGUGGGCGAAAGCCUGAUCCAUCAAUGCCGCGUUUGUGAUGAAGGCCUUCGGGCUGUAAAGCACUUUUGGCGGGAGCGAAAAGGACUGUGCCAAUACCACGGUUCGAUGACGGUACCCGCAGAAUAAGCACCGGCUAACUACGUG